AAGUUGUAACAAGGUUUCUGUAGGUAAACCUGUAAAAGAAUUAUUACUUUUCUAGCUAUUUAAUAGCUUGUCUAGGAGCUGUAGUUUCUACAGUCUUUAACUACAUCUAUGUUUUUUUGCAUACUAUAUAUUUCCUUAGCAGGCUUACUUGCUAGUUAGAUAAACUAAAACUCUUUAUAAUUACAAUUAGCGUCUAAAUUAUAUAAUAAUUACAA
Molecule: unclassified non-coding RNA, 215 nt
Filed under: plant metagenome
Description: partial contains small subunit ribosomal RNA and internal transcribed spacer 1
Source: RNAcentral